Long non-coding RNA from Dromiciops gliroides (monito del monte), 478 nucleotides. RefSeq lists it as uncharacterized. The record is from RefSeq and is a predicted model, not a curated record. The transcript has 3 exons. Lineage: Eukaryota; Metazoa; Chordata; Mammalia; Microbiotheria; Microbiotheriidae.
AGGCACCAGACCUGGGCGUCUGAUCUCGCCUGACCCGUUUGUCUCCCUCCCGGCCGGUGCAGAUGACUACCCCUGAUCCCUGGCUCUGCUGGACUUUCUUUCUCCUCCUGGCCUGCCUUCAGGUCCAGCUGGGGUCAGCUGGCUUUAAUGAAGACAGACCUGUCAGACCCAAGUGGCCAGGCAAUAAAGCCCCCAGUGCGGCUCUCAAGGAGUACUGGAAGGAAAUGAGGCGCUAUUUGGAUUACCAAAAGAAACUAGGAAAGAACAGGCCAAACAGAUCAGUGAUGGAGCACUCCAAGGAGCUGGCCUCAUCUCUCUUCCCCAAUUUAUGGAUUCCAGAAAGACCUCACCCCAGCAAACCCCUGACGUCCAUUCUUUCCUCUGAUAAGAAGUUCAAUCACAGAGGCAAGUGGCCGUCUGAGUUUCAUGAAUGGCACUAGACACGGCCGUCUGCCGCUCUCCCCAUGCCGGCACAACU